Molecule: ribosomal RNA, 520 nt
Filed under: uncultured bacterium
Lineage: Bacteria
Description: bacterial SSU rRNA
Rfam family: Bacterial small subunit ribosomal RNA
Source: RNAcentral
AGGUAAUAGAUACCCGGGUAGUCCCAGCAGUAAACGGUGCGCGUUUGGUGUGGAGAAUUCAACUCUCUCUGUGCCGGAGCUAAACGCGUUAAACGCGCCGCCUGGGGAGUACGGUCGCAAGACUAAAACUCAAAGAAAUUGACGGGGGCCCGCACAAGCGGUGGAGUAUGUGGCUUAAUUCGAUGCAACGCGAAAAACCUUACCUGGAUUUGACAUGUAUCGCUAAGGUGGUGAAAGCCAUCGAGGGUAGCAAUACCCACUUUACACAGGUGCUGCAUGGCUGUCGUCAGCUCGUGUCGUGAGAUGUUGGGUUAAGUCCCGCAACGAGCGCAACCCUUGUAUGCUGUUGCCAGAUGAUGAAUCUGGCUCUCUGCGUAGACUGCCCCGUGAAACGGGGAGGAAGGUGAGGAUGACGUCAAGUCAGCAUGGCCCUUACAUCCAGGGCUGCACACGUACUACAAUGCUCAGCACAAUUAGAACCGACACCGCGAGGUUUAGGAAAUCGCAAAAGCUGAGCCCA